AAUCCAUGCAUCAAACAUUUUCGAAGUAAUUCUUUAAAUCAUUCCCAAGCUUCAUAUAACAUUUCGUCCUUUGAUUGUCGAAAAGAUGUGAUGUCAUUUCUAUGCUU
Molecule: non-coding RNA, 107 nt
Organism: Gossypium hirsutum (cotton)
Lineage: Eukaryota; Viridiplantae; Streptophyta; Magnoliopsida; Malvales; Malvaceae
Source: Rfam